This is a non-coding RNA of Drosophila virilis, 1433 nucleotides long. NCBI's taxonomy places the organism in Eukaryota, Metazoa, Arthropoda, Insecta, Diptera, Drosophilidae. The record is from RefSeq and is a predicted model, not a curated record.
GCUGAAUAAAAUUAGAUUUUUUAGUGUAGAAAAUGUCAAGUUUGGUUAGAAGAUUUUGUUUCCUACAAAAAAUUUUUAUUUGCAGAACUUUUGAGCGGACAGUCAUCUGUUAAGGCAACGUGUCGUAUGAGUAAUAUUUGAAUUUUCUCAUUUGGCACUGCUGCAGCAUUCCCCCGCCCAAAGGCAGGCAUGUUAACAUUUAUAACUGCAAAUAUAUGCAUGAAGAAUAAACACAGCGCAGAAGACCCAAGAUAAGAAGAAGCGUAAAUUGUUUAAUGAACAAACAGGCAUACGGAACAAAAACGAUAACAAAAGCUAAGCAAACAAAUAAGGUACGGAAUCCGACUCCGACUCCAUCUCCGACUGAAAUAGCAAAUGGGAGCAGGCAGGGAGCCAAAGGAAAUGUUAGUUCGAAGCAGACCAAGCGUGAAAUAAUCACAUUAACUAACACACAACCUAAAAGCAGAAGGCGACGCUCGACAGUCAACACUUGCCCGGACGACAACAAACAAGCCUGCCCCGGCAGCCCAGAAGGAAGGACAGACAUCUGGCCAAAGUCUUUGCCAGUGUCUCUGAAGGCAAUGCCAGCGGUAACACUUCAGGCGAUUCCAGUCAAGUGCAAGGAGCAGCGAGCAGGGAGCUGGACACAAACUGCGCCAGCUCAAAUGGAAAGUCAAUGCUAAAAUGCCAGCAAAAUCGAAUAUAGCAAAUGAUGUGUUCGCAUUUUCUAAAAGCAUUUGAACUUUGAUCUUUCAUUUUUUUUUUAAAUGAGUGUCAAGAACAUCCAACAUAAAGAAGAUACUUUUUCCAAAGUUAAUGCGAGCUCUGAGCUUGGCUAAGCAUAUUUAUUGUCCAAGUUGCCUAACUUAAUAAAACAAACAAAGGGGAGAAGACACGUGCAUGCCAAGAAAAUAUUUGCCUAUUUCAGUUGGCCUUGCCAGGGCUAUUAUUGGGUGAAAAGAAAUGUCUGAAAUUUGAUGAAAAAAACAUGGCCCGGGCAUCGCUGGAUCAUAAUGGCUAAUAAUUUAAGAACUAGCGAACCCAUUAAAAGCGUGCAUAGAGGGUAUACUGGUUUUGUGCAAGCGUAUGUAACAGGCUAAAGGAAACUUCGCCCAUAAACGCCAUGGAUGUUUCAGGUUUCAGCCAAUUUAAACUUAUUUUCAGCCUAUCUACAUGAAACAAUUUGAGACGUGCCGAUGGAGACAGUACAUAUAGAUUGGUUUUUUCCACGCGCGGAAAAUUGGUGGAAAUGUCGUACCAUAAAAGCAAAACUUGUACCAGAGGCAUUUUAAAUUUUGACGGGUGGAAUAUGAGUGAAAAAUUGAUGUCUACAAACUAGUUAUUAUCAUGCUUCCAAAAGUAAUUGAAAAAAGUUCUGUAAAUUGUAGUUCCUGUUUUGCAUAAACGGAUUGUCAAUCUUGCUUCUCACUCGA